This 211-nucleotide unclassified non-coding RNA is filed under the name uncultured fungus. RNAcentral's name for it is "partial contains 18S rRNA, ITS1, 5.8S rRNA, ITS2 and 28S rRNA". The record is from RNAcentral. Lineage: Eukaryota; Fungi.
AAGGAUCAUUAUCAAACAUGGAAUAUCUUAUUCUUAAACCCACUCUGAGUACCUGUACUUGUUGCUUCCGUGGGCAGUGAACAGUAUGUUUGCGCCUGCCCAUAUGGUGGACCCAUGGGAGAUAUCAUCAAACCCUGCAUUUCGUGAUGCCAGUCUGAUCAUGUUUAUUCAUUAAACGUUAAAACUUUCAACAACGGAUCUCUUGGUUCUC